Molecule: ribosomal RNA, 206 nt
Filed under: uncultured bacterium
Lineage: Bacteria
Description: partial 16S ribosomal RNA
Rfam family: Bacterial small subunit ribosomal RNA
Source: RNAcentral
UGCGUAGGCGGCUUUGCAAGUCAGAUGUGAAAUCUAUGGGCUCAACCCAUAAACUGCAUUUGAAACUGUAGAGCUUGAGUGAAGUAGAGGCAGGCGGAAUUCCCCGUGUAGCGGUGAAAUGCGUAGAGAUGGGGAGGAACACCAGUGGCGAAGGCGGCCUGCUGGGCUUUAACUGACGCUGAGGACAAAGACGUGGGUAGCAAACA